This 166-nucleotide ribosomal RNA is filed under the name uncultured Vibrio sp. RNAcentral's name for it is "partial 16S ribosomal RNA". It matches the Rfam family "Bacterial small subunit ribosomal RNA", at positions 200 to 354 of the family's 1533-position model. Lineage: Bacteria; Pseudomonadati; Pseudomonadota; Gammaproteobacteria; Vibrionales; Vibrionaceae. The record is from RNAcentral.
GCCAAAGAGGGGGACCUUCGGGCCUCUCGCCUCAGGAUAUGCCUAGGUGGGAUUAGCUAGUUGGUGAGGUAAGGGCUCACCAAGGCGACGAUCCCUAGCUGGUCUGAGAGGAUGAUCAGCCACACUGGAACUGAGACACGGUCCAGACUCCUACGCGAGGCAGCAG